This 270-nucleotide ribosomal RNA is filed under the name uncultured archaeon. RNAcentral's name for it is "partial 16S ribosomal RNA". It matches the Rfam family "Archaeal small subunit ribosomal RNA", at positions 477 to 747 of the family's 1478-position model. The record is from RNAcentral.
CGGCACCUCAAGUGGUCAGGAUGAUUAUUGGGCCUAAAGCAUCCGUAGCCUGUUCUGUAAGUUUCCGGUUAAAUCCAUUAGCUCAACUAAUGGGCUGCCGAAAAUACUGCAAAACUAGGGAGUGGGAGAGGUAGACGGUACUCGGUAGGAAGGGGUAAAAUCCUUUGAUCUAUUGAUGACCACCUGUGGCGAAGGCGGUCUACCAGAACACGUCCGACGGUGAGGGAUGAAAGCUGGGGGAGCAAACCGGAUUAGAUACCCGAGUAGUCC